GAUGAGCGCUGGCGGCGUGCCUAAUACAUGCAAGUCGAGCGAACGGACGAGAAGCUUGCUUUUCUGAUGUUAGCGGCGGACGGGUGAGUAACACGUGGAUAACCUACCUAUAAGACUGGGAUAACUUCGGGAAACCGGAGCUAAUACCGGAUAAUAUUUUGAACCGCAUGGUUCAAAAGUGAAAGACGGUCUUGCUGUCACUUAUAGAUGGAUCCGCGCUGCAUUAGCUAGUUGGUAAGGUAACGGCUUACCAAGGCAACGAUGCAUAGCCGACCUGAGAGGGUGAUCGGCCACACUGGAACUGAGACACGGUCCAGACUCCUACGGGAGGCAGCAGUAGGGAAUCUUCCGCAAUGGGCGAAAGCCUGACGGAGCAACGCCGCGUGAGUGAUGGAGGUCUUCGGAUCGUAAAACUCUGUUAUUAGGGAAGAACAUAUGUGUAAGUAACUGUGCACAUCUUGACGGUACCUAAUCAGAAAGCCACGGCUAACUACGUG
RNAcentral lists this ribosomal RNA (497 nucleotides) under uncultured bacterium. RNAcentral's name for it is "partial 16S ribosomal RNA". It matches the Rfam family "Bacterial small subunit ribosomal RNA", at positions 28 to 507 of the family's 1533-position model. The record is from RNAcentral.